GUUUCCGUAGGUGAACCUGCGGAAGGAUUCCAACGUUAAAACAACCCCGUGAACUUUCAGCUAGCAAUCCCUGGUAAAUCAUUGUUGACCAGCUUUUGAGUCAGGGACCUCUGCAGAUUGUGAUAUUUUAUAGCUACGGUUGAGCGAUUGCAUCUAGUGACCUGGCAUCCCCAAGUAAUCAGUGUUCUGAAAGUGUCAUGAGUCACGAUCGCUGUAGGCCCACACGGGUCACCGGGCUCUGCUCCUUACGACAACUACAGUCUAACUUCGCCGCGCGUGAAAUUCGCACGGCACCAAAAACCGAACAACUGUUAACAAUGGAUAUCUUGGUUCU
Molecule: unclassified non-coding RNA, 334 nt
Filed under: fungal sp.
Lineage: Eukaryota; Fungi
Description: partial internal transcribed spacer region
Source: RNAcentral